GAUGAACGCUGGCGGCGUGCCUAAUACAUGCAAGUCGAGCGGACGGACGAGAAGCUUGCGUCUCUGAUGUUAGCGGCGGACGGGUGAGUAACACGUGGAUAACCUACCUAUAAGUCGGGGAUAACUUCGGAAAACCGGAGCUAAUACCGGAUAAUAUUUUGAACCGCAGGGGUGAAAAGUGAAAGACGGUCUUGCUGUCACUUAUAGAUGGAUUCGCGCUGCGUGAGCUAGUUGGUAAGGUAACGGCUUACCAAGGCAACGAUGCAUAGACGAACUGAGAGGGUGAUCGGCCACCCUGGAACUGGGCCACGGUCCUGAGGACUACGGGAGGCCGCAGUAGGCAAUCUUCCGCAGUGGGCGAAAGCAUGACGGAGCAACGCGACGUGAGUGAUAGAGGCCUUCGGAUCGUAAAACUCUGUUAUUAGGGAAGAACCUAUGUGUACGUAAAUGUGCACAUAUUGACGGUAACUAGUAAGAAAGCAACGGCUAACUACGUG
RNAcentral lists this ribosomal RNA (497 nucleotides) under uncultured bacterium. Its description in RNAcentral is "partial 16S ribosomal RNA". It matches the Rfam family "Bacterial small subunit ribosomal RNA", at positions 28 to 507 of the family's 1533-position model. The record is from RNAcentral.